AGAGCGAACGCUGGCGGCAGGCCUAACACAUGCAAGUCGAGCGCGUGUAGCAAUACACGAGCGGCAGACGGGAGAGUAACACGUGGGAACGCGCCCUUCGGUUCGGAAUAACUCAGGGAAACUUGAGCUAAUACCGGAUACGCCCUUACGGGGAAAGAUUUAUUGCCGAAGGAACGGCCCGCGUCCGAUUAGCUAGUUGGUGAGGUAACGGCUCACCAAGGCGACGAUCGGUAGCUGGUCUGAGAGGAUGACCAGCCUCACUGGGACUGAGACACGGCCCAGACUCCUACGGGAGGCAGCAGUGGGGAAUAUGGACAAUGGGCGCAAGCCUGAUCCAGCCAUGCCGCGUGGAUGAUGAAGGCCUUAGGGUUGUAAAGUCCUUUUAACGGGAAGAUAAUGACGGUACCGUAGAAUAAGCCCCGGCUAACUUCGUGCCAGCAGCCGC
Molecule: ribosomal RNA, 445 nt
Filed under: uncultured bacterium
Lineage: Bacteria
Description: SSU rRNA
Rfam family: Bacterial small subunit ribosomal RNA
Source: RNAcentral